Molecule: long non-coding RNA, 569 nt
Organism: Canis lupus familiaris (dog)
Lineage: Eukaryota; Metazoa; Chordata; Mammalia; Carnivora; Canidae
Exons: 3
Source: RefSeq, a predicted model, not a curated record
CUUCACUUAGGAAAGAAUGAUAAAAGAAAAAUAAGAUAAAGAAAAAGGAAAGAAUCUAGAAGAUUAAUAAAAAGCAAAAGAAAAACCAAAACAGCUCUUUAGAAAGGAAACUAUAAUAUUGGUCAUAAUCAUCACAGAGAAACAAUUACCACUGAUUUAAAUAUAAGCAAAGAGAACAUGUGAAUGAAGUUUAUAGAAGAAAUAUACUCUAAUUAAAGAUGUAAAGAACACAGAAAUGUGUAAAAUAAUCCCACCAGAGAAGAUUGCUCUUAAUGGUAGAAUGUUUUUCCCAUGUGGUUUUAAAACCUGCCUCAAUUGUGACCUGAGACCUCCGUGACUCAUUUGGCCUCCCAACGAAAAACACCAGGAGUACUAAUUACUGUAAAAGGCAAUGUCUUCAGAAAGAAAAGUUGUCUACCUACAGUAACUAAACAGAAACCACCUACCAUCAAAUUUUAUGUUGGCUCAUGAACCACCAAAGAGCAGGAAUGUUCCAUUCCCAUCUAAGAAGACUGCUAUUUAACAACUGGUCUAAAUCACUUUAGAAGGUGUUCUUGAAAUAAAGCAAU